AAGCAUCACAGAGGCUUACGGUCCAGCCAUCGUUGACCCAUGGCAAAACCUUGUUUAGGCUUAUCAGGCAAAUGAAAAAGGAUCAACCUUUAAUGUGGCAAAAGUCAAGUUGUUGUCAUACAUAACUGUAAAUCUGCGCAAAAGAGAGACAAGACAAUGCAUAAUUCCCAUCAGAUCAGAUAAACGCAAAAAUUAACACCAACUGAAAUGUGCAUCAUGUGAAACAAAGUAGACGGCUUAACCCCGCAGCCUGGCCAUCAAGAUGCCAUGCUCUCCAGUCAUCAAUAAUGGUGAAGUUUAAGGAUCUUAUCCAUGCCUGAGUGCCCAGAAAUGGCACCAUGAGAUCAUGGUCACCGCUACACCAAGAGAGUUGAUAAUAAUUGUAAGACGUAGAAUAAGAUUCAAGCUGUAUAUAUAGACAUAAUUUUUGUGUGAUGCUUUCACCAGAAUACAAGCGCCCGGUAACCUCUUGUGGUGAGGUUAAGAUGGUACUGUAUGGUGCUUGGAACGUCCCUAGCAUAGGGGAAUACUUCGGUAUUGCAUCUUGUCCACACACCGACCGUUCCCUAUUUCAUGGUUGUGUCAUCAAAUUAGCUGAAUAAUUCUACUUGCUUAGCAAUCUAGCUAUCCCUAUGCAUAAAGGUAGAAGAAAUCACAAAGGUUACCUUCUUGAUUUUAAGAGCAUCUCUGGUUGCCUUGUCAUUCAUCCAUAUGUUCAAUAGGUAGAACCGGUAUGACUACAUUUUAGAAAGAAAUGCGAAACAGCAUUACAAAAACAGGGAGAUGAACCCUAUGACUAUGAGCAUCUGCUUCGGAAAAAAAAAUCUUCCAUCGGAAUAACACUCAAGGGAUUAAUAAUACUUACAAAACAAUUGAUAGUAGGUCGAGCAGUUGGCUCACUUAGCCGACUGUAUUCUUCUAGUAGAGCCCUACUUGAAACACCAUUUAUGGGUUUGGGUAUUAAACGACCAGCACAUUUAUCAAGCAAGAUAUCUCCAUUGUCUAGUUCAGACAUGAGCUGCAACACAGGGAUGUGCAUCAGUAAGAUACUAGCUGGAUUUUAGUAAUCUUAAAUAACUAGGCCAGUGCAAGAAUCUUACGUUAUCAACAGCAUUUAGGACAUUCGCACAGAUUUCAUUUGUUGGAUUGACAUAAUCUCCUUUGCAGUUCGCUACCGCAGCCUUAAAAGAGGAAAAGGGAAAUGCUAGAGUUGUAACACACCACACUAUCGAAGCUCAUAAAUAUGGAAUUACCUCGUAUAGCUGAUCAGAUAUGAUUCCAACGCCAUGAGCAUAUGGAAUUAUGGAAUUACGAUCAUACUUUGGGUCUGUCAAGGGGCUGCCAACCAUAUAACCCUGUAAAUAUUUUCUUAUAUAAGCACAAGAAAGAAAAAAAAUACAUGAAGGUACACUACUAGAAUUCCUUAACCAAAAGAAAUUUGUUUGAAGGAUACAGAAUGGCAUGCCUUAAGCUUAAUUAAUGGUUGCUGCCUUUGUUCAAUUCCUGGAGAAUAGGUAAGUGAUCAAGACAAGGAAAGGAACAAGCUACCCGAUUAGAAUUUAUGAUGAAACAUAAGCAACUGCAAACAUUAAUCAAUUUUGUCCAAGUUAAACAGUUGAAAAUGUAGUGAAUUUGUCAAUCUGAAACACCAUUUGAAUUUUGAAACUAGUUCAAACUUCUUGUAACUUGUAAGAACACUUUUAUACUAAAAAAAUAAAAACAAUAACAGCUCUAACAAACACAUAUGGUAAAGACGAUUUACUACAAAUUAUCUUAUCAUCUAUUCCCUUUUAGUUCGGGCCCACACCUCACCAAUCCCAAGGAGGCAAACAAGUAAUUUUACCCCUCUCCUUAAUUGCUAUGCCAAGGGCUAAAACUUGCUAUAUUUUAGGAUAAAGGGAGUAAUUUAUUUGAGAAUAUGUGAAAUAUAUCAUAGAUUACCUUCUGAAAUGUAUUGUGCAAUAAGUGGAAUCACCUUUCCAGCAUAUGAGCUUCCCCCAACAUAGAAAUGAUUUGAGAGAUAGCUUGGGUGAUCAUUGAACCACUACACUAAAAUGUGACGACUUGCAAAGAGGAUGAUAUAUCCCCAACAUUAUAACCUUUGGGAUCACGCGCAUAUGAGAAACCAGACCCAACAGGAGUGUCCAAGAAGAUGAUGCUAGCUAUCUGUGUCUCUGCAAGGGAUCACCCUUUAGCCAGUUGCCACAGCAAUUAGUAAUGAGUGACCAGUGAAAUACUAACCUACUUCAAAGACGAGAGCGGUGAAUCCAGAGCAAAGGGGUCCACCUGUCAGCCAGAGGAUGACAGGGUCUGUACUAGGACUCCUCUCCGAUUCAACGAAGUAGUAGAAUAGCUCAGUGCCGGUCUCCUCAUCCACACUAACAUACCUGUGUAUGCACAUGUACAUGCACUACCAAUUAAGGCACAAUUAAGGGACAUACUUAACCCAAACCAUCCCUUACCCAGUCUCAAGGUAGAACCGCAAGCGGCCGUGGAAGCCCGGGAGGUGGGUGAUCACCGACGACGACGCCGAGCACGGCAGCAGCAGCAGCAGCAGCAGGAGGAAGAGGAUGCAGGUGCGCAGCGGC
Molecule: small RNA, 2588 nt
Filed under: Oryza sativa Japonica Group (Japanese rice)
Lineage: Eukaryota; Viridiplantae; Streptophyta; Magnoliopsida; Poales; Poaceae
Description: sRNA Os03g0730750
Source: RNAcentral